This 456-nucleotide ribosomal RNA is filed under the name uncultured bacterium. RNAcentral describes it as "bacterial SSU rRNA". It matches the Rfam family "Bacterial small subunit ribosomal RNA", at positions 32 to 470 of the family's 1533-position model. The record is from RNAcentral.
AAUCAACGCUGGCGGCGUGCCUAACACAUGCAAGUCGAACGAGAAAGUGACUUCGGUCACUGGAAAGUGGCGUCCGGGUGAGUAACACGUGGGUAAUCUACCCUCGGGUGGGGAAUAACGGAUCGAAAGAUUCGCUAAUACCGCAUAAUGCAGCGGCACCUAAUGGUGAAUAGUUGUUAAAGCGGGGGAUCGCAAGACCUCGCGCCUGAAGAGGAGCCUGCGGCAGAUAGCUAGUUGGUGAGGUAAUGGCUCACCAAGGCUUCGAUCUGUAGCUGGUCUGAGAGGACGGCCAGCCACACUGGCACUGACACACGGGCCAGACUCCUACGGGAGGCAGCAGUGGGGAAUUUUGGGCAAUGGGCGAAAGCCUGACCCAGCAACGCCGCGUGAGGGAGGAAAUCCUUCGGGAUGUAAACCUCGCAAGCAAGGGAAGACAGCUAGAGAUUUAAUAAAUUU